GAAUGCAGUGAUGGAGAUGAGUUUGAUUAUACUGCUUCUGCUGUCAGGUUGGUGUGUACUGUUUUCAAAAGUACAUGUACACAUGCAUAUUUUUAAAAAUGUUUGUUUUAACAGGAUUUUUGUGCAGCACAUCUGAUUUUCCGCGAAAGUACUACUACAUAAAUCAGAGUAUGACAUGGGCAGCAGCUCAGAGUUACUGCAGACAGAAGCACAUUGAUCUGGCUACUGUAGACUCUAUGAAUGAUGUGAACAAGCUGAUAAAUACUGUGGAUCCUGGGUACAGUGGAUCAGUGUGGACUGGACUGAAGAGGGCGACACUGAGUCGAUGGGUUUGGUCUAUGGGAGAUGACACUCUUUCACAGUACAAGAACUGGUAUCCAGGAGAACCUUCUGGUGAUGGACCAUGUGUUGAAACUCACAAUGGAAUUUGGAACGAUCUUUCAUGUUAUUCUGUUUUAUAUUUUGUGUGCUACAAUGAAAGCGUUGGAAACGUCCUAAUAACAAUUGGAAAAAACUGGAGAGAUGCUCAGAGUUACUGCAGACAGUAUCACACUGACCUGGCCACCAUCCACAACUCUGUGGAGCAGAACCAGGUAUAUACUCUUGGUCAAAGUGGAUGGUGGGUCUGGAUUGGUCUGUUCUUGGACUCCUGGCAGUGGUCUGACCAGAGGAGUUUCUACUUUAGAUACUGGGCAGCAGGACAACCCACAACUGGUGACUGUGUUGCCAUGUCAACAACUGACUCUGGGAAAUGGGCUACUUACAGCUGUGACCAAUCACGUCCUUUUAUCUGUUAUGAUGUUUAUCAAAAACAGGUCAUCAGAUUAAACUUGUCCUGUCGUGGAAAAUACGAUAUGAAUGAUCCUUCACUACAGG
Paramisgurnus dabryanus is the source of this 876-nucleotide non-coding RNA. Lineage: Eukaryota; Metazoa; Chordata; Actinopteri; Cypriniformes; Cobitidae. The record is from RefSeq and is a predicted model, not a curated record.